Molecule: non-coding RNA, 72 nt
Organism: Albula goreensis
Lineage: Eukaryota; Metazoa; Chordata; Actinopteri; Albuliformes; Albulidae
Source: the annotation of a GenBank genome assembly
GCACCGUAGCAUAAUGGCUAAGGAGCUGCUUUUCCAAAGGAGAGGUGCUGGGUUCAAUUCCCAGGUAGGGCA